This 322-nucleotide ribosomal RNA is filed under the name uncultured Geobacillus sp. RNAcentral describes it as "bacterial SSU rRNA". It matches the Rfam family "Bacterial small subunit ribosomal RNA", at positions 1059 to 1382 of the family's 1533-position model. Lineage: Bacteria; Bacillati; Bacillota; Bacilli; Caryophanales; Anoxybacillaceae. The record is from RNAcentral.
CUCGUGUCGUGAGAUGUGGGUUAAGUCCCGCAACGAGCGCAAACCCUCGCCUCUAGUUGCCAGCAUUCGGUUGGGCACUCUAGAGGGACUGCCGGCGACAAGUCGGAGGAAGGUGGGGAUGACGUCAAAUCAUCAUGCCCCUUAUGACCUGGGCUACACACGUGCUACAAUGGGCGGUACAAAGGGCUGCGAACCCGCGAGGGGGAGCGAAUCCCAAAAAGCCGCUCUCAGUUCGGAUUGCAGGCUGCAACUCGCCUGCAUGAAGCCGGAAUCGCUAGUAAUCGCGGAUCAGCAUGCCGCGGUGAAUACGUUCCCGGGCCUU